RNAcentral lists this unclassified non-coding RNA (16 nucleotides) under Escherichia coli. Its description in RNAcentral is "RNA from Escherichia coli (PDB 8EG7, chain R)". Lineage: Bacteria; Pseudomonadati; Pseudomonadota; Gammaproteobacteria; Enterobacterales; Enterobacteriaceae. The record is from RNAcentral.
UUUUUUGGCAUAGUUG